GCGGGUAUGGCGGAACGGCAGACGCGCACGGUUCAGGUCCGUGUAAGGAAACUUGUGGAGGUUCAAAUCCUCUUACCCGCA
RNAcentral lists this transfer RNA (81 nucleotides) under Peptoniphilus sp. ING2-D1G. It matches the Rfam family "tRNA". From Rfam's summary of the family: Transfer RNA (tRNA) molecules are approximately 80 nucleotides in length. Their secondary structure includes four short double-helical elements and three loops (D, anti-codon, and T loops). Further hydrogen bonds mediate the characteristic L-shaped molecular structure. tRNAs have two regions of fundamental functional importance: the anti-codon, which is responsible for specific mRNA codon recognition, and the 3' end, to which the tRNAs corresponding amino acid is attached (by aminoacyl-tRNA synthetases). tRNAs cope with the degeneracy of the genetic code in two manners: having more than one tRNA (with a specific anti-codon) for a particular amino acid; and 'wobble' base-pairing, i.e. permitting non-standard base-pairing at the 3rd anti-codon position. The record is from Rfam by way of RNAcentral. Lineage: Bacteria; Bacillati; Bacillota; Tissierellia; Tissierellales; Peptoniphilaceae.